CCGAGCAUCGAUUGGGUCGCGUCGUUUCAGUUGGUCCACCAGAUACGCCCUCGUCCAGAUACGCCCGCGUGUGAUGGUGAUGCAGAGGAAAUAUCGCGGUAGCUUCUCUCUUCCUCACGCUCACGCAACCUCCCCCUUCUCCUCGACCCUCCACCUCCUCCGCACGGCUUUCACCUCUCCAUCCGCCAUCAAGCAGACCUCCCCCGGCUCACCGCCACCCCCCGUGCCGAUGUGCUAAUGGUUGCGCUGCCUCUGCCCGAUGACGCCGUCUACGUCGAUCUGAAGCCCACGGAGGACGGGGACGAGGUGGGGGAGGAGAUGCAGGUCGUAAGGAGAUGGGAGGCGCUGCAGUCGGUCCGGGUCGCGCGGACGUCGGGGUGGAUGCAGUGCGCCGGCGACGGCCCCGUUGUCCUCGACUCAUCAGAUCCAACCUCUUGCCCGCGCCAGCUGCUGACGGAGUAGUCGGUGAAGGGAGGCCCGUUCUUGCCGACCACUGGCGUUGCGUCGUGCUACCGAGCCUCUGCAACUGUGUCGUGAUGGGUACUUGAGAAGGUUGUCCUUCCACUCGAUGUUGCACCUCCAGCAAAGAGGGGAAUAUGCACUGUGUUGCCAUCUCCUAAUGUUUGGUUCUCCUUGAAUUUCUGCAUCAUAAUACAUCACCGCUGCAACCAAUUAAUUAAGCUUCUCGGAUGAGUGUGCUUCGUAAUCCAGACAUGGAGAAGCUUUAGAAUGGUUACUUAUUCCCAGAGGAUUAGCAUGAGAUGUGAAGCACACCAGAAGAAGUACCCAGACGCCAAGGUCAUCAGUUUGGGCAUCGGUGACACGACCCAACACAUACCAAGCAUCUUCACAUCUAUCAUGACCAAGGUAAUGUCUUCCUUCUUCGGACACAGCAGAAUCUUGGAAAGUUAGCACUGAAUUUGUUUGUGUUAAGACAUGAUUUUUUUUCCUCUACAAAUUCAGUGUUUCAACACGAUUGUCUCAUGUCUUUGUCCGUGGUUACUGAGGAAACUAGUAUGUUUCGUGUUUGAUCUUCAGGUAUCUAGGAUUAUUGAUGGUGACAUGGAUGAUUCCUGUGGUCUGGACAAGGUUGCUUCCAGUCACUUGCCUAGCUAAAUGCCAAUGCAUGAGAUAGCAUUUGCGUCAAACUGAUUAAGUCAGAGCUACUCAGUCAUGUAAACAAACUUAUAGGACAUGGUGAGCCAAGGUGAGCUGCCGCCGAUUCUCCCCAUUGCUAGCCCCCACUCUUCCUCUCUUCUUAUUGCUCCCUUAUUUUCUUCCACUCUGGCUACCCAUCCAUCUACUUGUAAUCCUUUUUCCUGAAACUAUAAGACAAUGGCUUACCCUGACAUUUUGGUAGUUGUGUGAGAUGAAACAUGAUGCUAAGCCGAACAAUUUAUUGUUCUUUUUACGCAUGAGAUCAUAUUUUGGUAGUAGCGAAGCCUAAACCAUGAUGCUUUCUUGCUGCUGCUGUAGUCUCUAAUGAAAUUAUGAGAUAAUGUAGUUAAGCUAAGUUUAGAGAUGCUGUGUGAGAUGACCUCACCUACAUAAAUGUUUUUUCGUUAUUUUUCUUAAUGUAUGGAUGCCUACUGACCCUAAGUAUAUUUGUUUAAAAUGUUUACGUAUGAAGUUUCUAUGCUAUAUAAGAAAGUAGGUCUGAACUAUUUGAGGUCAUGUUCUAUUUUACAGGUUACUCGUAUAGUUGCAUAGCUGAUUCAGUUACAUUAGUUCAAAACAAGUGUUUGUAUCUAUCUUAACUUUCAGGUUACUUGUAUUGCAUAUUGAUUGAUUUCGUGCAGGCUCCUCCGCUAGAUUUUUUUUGAAGUGUAUGUGUUUUUUUUUUGAACAAGGGGGUUCAUAUUCUGGACAUAUCCUCGUGACAGCAAGUUUAUAAUAAAUUCCGAAACUCCUAGGUUGAAGUCAGCAAAGAUAGCAUAUUCAACUAUAUUCAAAUAAUUGUACAUAACUGCCCUUAAGAAUUAUAAGCAAGAUAAAUGCUCACCGGACCGCCUCAAGAGACGCGCCCAGGGCGCGUCCCAGCCACUAGUUUGAGAUGUAAACUGCGAUGAGGGUGAAUUUGCAUGCCAGUGGGGCGGGAGAGUUGCCAAGUUGGCUACGUAAGCCGUGUUGUUUCUCGUCAUGUUUAGCAUAGUGAGGUUAGCAGAUAGAACUUGCAUCAUUUUGAUUUACUUUGCUUUAUAAUUAUUUUACUUUUAUUUUUGUGUGUUUUGUCACAGUUAUUUCUUCUGCAAGUUGUUGUUUCCUGGUCCGUGAAGUGUGUGAUGCACUGUUAAAUGUUAGACGAUAUGUAUUUCCUCCGAUAUAUUUAUUAUAAUUUUUUCUAUGCACAAAUGAUAGUUGUAAAAAUAAUUUUGUUAAAAAGCUGUGUGAAAAUUAAUAUUCAUGUUGGCGACCAGACUUGAUUGAUUUAUAUAAUAUAUGGAAGUUCACGUAAUUUUGUUUACUAAAACUUUUGUAGGCAUAUUUAAUAUUUACUAAACAAAAGUAUUCCUAUUUUAGUAAUCUCUUUACCCCACUCCUUUUGUUAUGUGCGUACACAUCACUUCUUUUUUUACUCCAGGUAGAGAAACAUUAUCGCCAACAUGAAGUGUGUAUUUUGAAUAUCCCGCAAAAAAUAUAUUUAUUUUUAACAGCUCUCUUUACCCCACUCCUUUUGUUAUGUGCGUACACAUCGCUUUUUUUUACUCUAGUUAGAGAAACUUUGUUGCCCAACGUGAAGUGUGUAUUUUGAUUAUCACACAAAAAAACAGUAUAUAUUUUUAACAGCUCUCAACGGCAAACACUAAAGUACCUCAGGAUUGAUUUUUUAAUGUGGACCGGAUUGGUUAAUUUGCUGAAACCAUAAACGACCUCAACACAUGUAUUACGCUCGGAAUCUUUUUUGUGGUGUUUAGAUUUUGCAUAGUUGCAUGCCGUCAAAGUUUAUGGAUGAAGGGCGCGUAACACAAUUUGUAUGUAUGAAGUGACCUGAUUCUGUUGUUUGUGUUAGGAUUUAAUUAAUCAUAUUAAUCCCUGCUUUUUCUAACCGAGGCGGUUGCCUCACAUCCCUUCAGUUGCAGUCCUUCAAGGGUUAUAUAUAUUUGUAAUCCCAUCAUCAAUGAGAACAAGAGUUCACUUUUACAUCUCUCUGUUUGUCUCUAGUUCCUCUCUCGAUCUCAAUUCUAGACACGUUAUCAGCACGCUCUUCCCUGAGCAACUCGGCGAGGAGGAAAGAACUGGAAACCGCACAUCCCUCGACCGGCGAAUCCACAGCCCGGUGCUGCGCCUGGGCGAUCCUCGACGCGAAGUGAACAGGGGCCCGUUCACGCACAGGCCCUUUGCGCCCAGCGGCGGUUACCAAUGGAGAAGAGUAUCCAGCGCAUAAGCGAUGGCGCAUGGAACCGCUUCCGGCGAAACCCCCACUGGUGGGCUUCCUUCCGAAGAUUGCCGAUCAUGGCCAGAUGGUUGGAGAAAUCAGCCGCCCACUGCAGAGACGGCACCGCGGUUAAGAGAUCGAUCAGGAGAAAGCAAUUUUCUUGUCUUUUGUGAUUAACAUCAAUUCUAAACACUCACGUGAUCUAACAAAUGAUUUGAUUGUUUUCU
This is an RNA transcript of Triticum aestivum (bread wheat), 3603 nucleotides long. RefSeq lists it as uncharacterized. The transcript has 5 exons. NCBI's taxonomy places the organism in Eukaryota, Viridiplantae, Streptophyta, Magnoliopsida, Poales, Poaceae. The record is from RefSeq and is a predicted model, not a curated record.